This 5062-nucleotide long non-coding RNA is filed under the name Sus scrofa (pig). RNAcentral describes it as "lncRNA (ENSSSCG00025029424.1)". Lineage: Eukaryota; Metazoa; Chordata; Mammalia; Artiodactyla; Suidae. The record is from RNAcentral.
AUAGGUCGCAGACAAGGCUUGGAUCUGGCGUGGCUGUGGCUGUGGUGUAGGCCAGGAGCUACAGGUUUGAUCUGACCCCUAGCCUGGGAAACUCCGUAUGCCGCUGGCACAGCCUUAAAAAGAAACAAAACAAAAGCAAACCUGUGCGGGGAGAGGAGGAGUUGGUAGAAGGGAGACUGUGUGUGUCACCAUCAUCACCUGACACUACGGAUCAUGGACCCCACAGCAGGGUGUUCUAGUGCUUCCCGUGCAUGUGUCAUGGGAUCUCAGAGCAACCCCAGGGGGCGUGGGUGUGGGCACUCGUUUUUAAUAGCUGGAUGCCUGGCUCUGGUUGGUUAAGUAAAGUGUAAAGUCCAGUGUGGCGGAGCUGGCUCACCACUCCUAGGGGUGUGCUGGGAGCAGAGGAGGGUGAGAUAGCUGUGGGCUGGAGGCAGGGAGGCCUGGGCCUGGAGGGAGGCAGCAUUUGCACAGAAGGAGCAGACCAGAAACAGUCUGGUCAGAUUGGGGAAAUAACACUGGACAUUUGAAAUGUUCUCCUUGGGGGCUCCUCGUGCUCUGGCUGUGAGCCCAUAAAGUUGGAAGCAGGUCUUGCUGCUCAAGGGCAGUGGUUCAAAAUUGUGUCAGACACAAACAUCCCUUUCUGUAACAAGUAUUUAAUUAAUAACUAAUUAAUUAGUUUUUGCUUUUUAGGGCCACACCUUCGGCAUAUGGAAGUUCCCAGACUAGGGGUUGAAUAGGCGCCGCAUCUGCAACCUACACCACAGUUCACAGCAACCCCAGAUGCUUAACCCACUGAGCGAGGCCAGGGAUUGGACAUGUAUCCUCAUGGUUUGUUACCCCUGAGCCACGACAGGAACUCCUAUAACAAAUAUUUUAUAACGUCCCUUAAUAUCCUGAAGUGAAAUUCAAAGGCAGCACAUAAUCAUGUUUACAUAUGUGCUUACCUGUAAUACAAAGACAAAGACUACUUCCUACCAGUUGAGUGUCAGACUUGCCUGUGUACAUCCACCAGAGGACCAAAGCUACUGCAUCAACCUCCAAACUGGCCACCAGGGGGCGGUGUACCCCUUCCGCAGCCGUGAGCGGCUCCCCAGGCCAUGGCAGCGUUGACUUUGGGCUGCUUUCCUCUCCCUUCAGAAGGGCCUCAUGUCGCACUCCUCCUGAGGUGGCCGAUUGUCUCCCUGAGGGCACCUGAGUGGUAAGAGGGCGGGCAGAGUGAAGAGAGGAAGUUACAGAGGGUAGAGCUGACCCCCUAGUUAGGAUGAGAGAUUUCUAGUCACAUGAGCGGGGCAUGAUUAGAGUCAUGUGCUUUAAAGUUUUGCUUUUGUUGUUGAGUCAUUUGCUUGAAAAAUGAUUAUAAAGUUACAUGUUUAUUUUCCUUGAAAUUAUUUUGCUGUUUUUUUGCAAUCGAUAAGUAUUCAUUUAAUAUUUUUCUUUAUAUGGAUUUAAUUUUUCUUUAACCUAAAUACAUAUGUUUAAUGGAAACUUUAAAUGUAUAAGUGGAAAGCUUAUGUCACUUGGCAUAAUUAGGGGGUAACUUUAAAACAAAAGACAAAAGCUGAAGAUAUAAAACAAUGUUACUACAUUCUUAUUGAUACUUAUGCUUUGUUUUCCCACCAAAGGUCCAUUCUGUCUUUAUAAAAAGUUUAACAAAUAUUAAAGAGCUGUUAAAUACACAGUUACACCAAACCAGGACUAUCCUUAAAGUGAUCAGAGAACUAAAAUAGAAGUGAAUGGGAAUAUUUUUCUCAUUCUGUAAGGGAAUCUACAUUAUUUAAAGCUUUAUCUGUGUACCCCUUAAAUCAUCUCCCAUUCAACAGUGGACAAAAAUGUCUCCCACUCUGGAGACACUGGUACAGCAGAUGGCUUCCUGCACGUGGAGUCAAGGGACCACUUACCAGCUGUGUGUCUGUACAGGUUGCUUGCCCUCUCUGGGCCUUUCUGUCCUCACCUGUAAAAUGAGGAGGUUAGAAGAGAUGAUCUCUGAAACUCUUUUGGAUCUCAGAGUCAGAGACCUUGAGGCGCUGACUCUCCCUGGGAGAUGUAGGACUUAAUGUGGACAUCCUUUUGUUUUGUGCUUGGGACCUUUUCUUUCUUUUCUUUUUUUUUUUGGCUUUUAGGGCCAUACCCACAGCAUAUGGAAGUUCCCAGGCUAGGGGCUGAAUUGGAGCUGUAGCCGCUGCCCUACACCACAGCCACAGCAACACCAGAUCUGAGCUGCAUCUGUCACCUACCCCAUAGCUCAUGGCAAGGUGGGAUCCUUAACCCACUGAGCGAGGCCAGGGGGUCAAACCUGUGUCCUCAUGGACACUAGUCAGAUUCCUUUCUACAUGAUGGGAACUCCUGUUUAGUGCUUAGAACCUUUGAAGGGGAAUGUGGAAAACUAUGUUCUCAGAAAUUCCAGCCAGCGCCCUCUCCCUCAGAGUGAUUUAGUCUAACAGAGCAGAACAGCUGAGCAUUUAGAGCCUGGAAUUAAGGAGACCUGGAUGUAUUUUUUUUUUUUUUUUUUUUUUUUUUGUCUUUUCUAGGGCCGCACCCACGGCAUAUGGAGGUUCCCAGGCUAGGGGUCUAAUCGGAGCUGUAGCCACCAGCCCACGCCAGAGCCACAGCAACGUGGGAUCCGAGCCGCGUCUGCAACCUACACCACAGCUCACGGCAACGCCGGAUCCUUAACCCACUGAGUGAGCCCAGGGAUUGAACCCGCAAACUCAUAGUUUCUAGUCGGAUUCGUUAACCCUUGAUCCCCGACGGGAACUCCCUGGAUGUAUUUUUAUUUUAUUUUUUCUGCUUCUUCUUCCUCUUCUUCUUCUUCUUCCUCUUCUCCUCCUCCUCCUUCUUCCUUUGCUUCUUUAAAAAUAAUUAUUGGAGUAUGGUUGACUUAACAAUGUAUUAGUUUCAGAUAUACAGCAAAAUGAAUUGGCUAUACAUAGGUAUUUAUGAUUCUUUUUUUCCCACAUAGGUUAUUACGAAACUAUUGAGUAGAUUUCCCUGAGCUAUACAGUAGGUUCCCAUUAAUCAUCUAUUCUAUACAGUUGUGUGUAUAGGUUGCUCCCAUCUUUCCAAUUUCUAACCCACCCCUCCCACCCCCUGAGAUGUGGGUUUAAGUCCUUCCUCUGCCUCCUACAAGUUGGUGACUUUGAGCAAGUUACCUUCUUUGGGCCCAGUUUCUGUAGCUAUAAAGUAGGGACAGUAGAGUUCCUGUCUUGGCUCAGCAGAAAUGAAUCUGACUAGCACCCGUGAGGACAAAGGUUUGACUCCUGGCUUCACUCAGUGGGUUAAGGAUCCGGUGUUGCUGUGGCUGUGGUGUAGGCCAGCAGCUACAGCUCUGAUUCGACCCUUAGCCUAGGAACCUCCAUAGCCCUCUGGUGUGGCCCUAAAAAGACUAUAUAAGUACAUAAAUAAAUAAAUAGGGACAGUAAUAGUAUUUAUCCUUAUUGUGAAGAUUCAAUUAUAAUGUCAGGUGCUUAUCACAGUGCCUGGCCCAAGUCUUAGCAGUGAUUCCUGUGUAUUUUGGUAAUCCCUAGGACCUAUUUACCUAUUUAUUUAUUUUUAAUAAAACUGGGACAUCCUGGAGGUAAGGCACUGGGGGAAACUCUUUGGUGGCCCUGUCCCCAAUAUCGUAAAAUGAUGAAAUGAAAUGAAUGUUACGGACACCCAAGACGGCGAGGCCUUGUCUGAGAAAGGUGAGUGUGAAUGCGUAAGGCCCUGCCACCCACACUUGGCCCUGGUGGUAGUGUGAGGGCCAAGAGUAUUUGUGUGGGUUUUAGAUUUUUGAAAAGAAAUUUUUUUUUUUUUUUAAAGCAUUAGCCGAGCAGCUUGUGGCUUUCCAGCCCACAGGUUUCCUGCGUCUCAGCCUGGCCCCUUGGUGCAGGUGCCUGCAAGUGCGUGUGGGGGGCAGGGAAUAGUGGGGGGCACGGCAGAGGGACAGAGCUUCCCCUGGUGGCCCCUGAUCUGCUCUACACCACAGCAUAUGGGGCUGGGUGAGGUGGCUGGGACAACAGGAGCCUGAUGUUUGGAAGAGCAGCAUCGUGCCUCCUGGGACACCCAUCACUGAAGUCUUGCUGCCGCUUCUGGGACAUUCCUGACCAGGUGGAAUUCUUCCAAUAACAUUUUGCUGGGAUGGUCAUGUGAUGGCUCCCUAAAGCAUAAUCUGAGCUGUGGACCUGGAUUUUCAUCCUCGCCUGACCGCUAAUGAGCUCUGUGACCUUUCUGAACAUUUGUUUCUUCCUUUCCUUAUUUGUUAACUGAAAGGUUAGAUCAUACCGGUGGUUUUUAGCUCUGACUUAUUUGUGUCAUCUUGGUGUGGGGUAGAUGUCACAGAGCCCUUGGACAAGUUGAUAAGCAUUGUAGAACCCCUCUCCAGAAAACUGUACGUCCUCACAUAUUUUAUGUAAAAUUUCAGGAUGUUUCAAGACCUCCCUGGAAUUCCAGGUUGCAGACCACUGAUUCUGUGCGUCAUUUGGCUUACAAGUUGGUCCAUGCCUUCCAAGUUGGCUUUCUUGCUGAAUCCAAGCCAAGUGAAGGAUCUGUCUGUUUGUAAACAUAUGUUCACUACUCUCUCCCUCGAACUCCAGCAAAAUCAGCCACCGCCCAGCAGGGCCACGGAGGAGCUGCGCCAUCCAGGCCUUGGCAUGUGACCGUACGAGGCAUCCCCAGUUGAUGGUCAGGCCUUUCUCUCAUUCACAGAGAGGUGGGACAUGGGCCAGCAGCAGAGUCUCUGGCUGAGGGCUCAGCCUGAGGCUGGCUCUCCCUGUUUGGGUUCAGGAGACAGUAUUAAUUAGUGGCUGGGAGAGGCUAGAUAUAUACACUUAAAGAAGACUCAGGGAGUUCCUGUCUUGGCUCAGUGGAAAUAAAUCUGACUAGCAUCCACGAGGACACAGGUUCAAUCCCUGGCCUUGGUCAGGGGGUUAAGUUGCCUUGAGCUGUGGUGUAGGUCACAGACAUGACUUGGAUCCCAUGUGACUGUGGCUGGCAGCUACAGCUCCGAUUCGGCCCCUAGCCUGUGAACCUCCAUGUGCCCAGGGUGUGGCCCUAAAAAGACCAAAAAGACCAAAAAAAAAAA